RNAcentral lists this unclassified non-coding RNA (256 nucleotides) under plant metagenome. RNAcentral describes it as "partial contains small subunit ribosomal RNA, internal transcribed spacer 1, and 5.8S ribosomal RNA". The stretch from base 208 to 256 matches the Rfam family "5.8S ribosomal RNA", at positions 1 to 49 of the family's 154-position model. The record is from RNAcentral.
UUUCCGUAGGUGAACCUGCGGAAGGAUCAUUACUGAGUGAGGGCCUCUCGGGGUCCAACCUCCCACCCGUGUUUAACGAACCUUGUUGCUUCGGCGGGCCCGCCUCACGGCCGCCGGGGGGCAUCUGCCCCCGGGCCCGCGCCCGCCGAAGCCACCUGUGAACGCUGUCUGAAGUAUGCAGUCUGAGACAAUUAUUAAAUUAAUUAAAACUUUCAACAACGGAUCUCUUGGUUCCGACAUCGAUGAAGAACGCAGC